GCCGGCUUAGCUCAGUUGGUAGAGCACCUGAUUUGUAAUCAGGGGGUCACGAGUUCGAAUCCUGUAGCCGGCACCA
This 76-nucleotide transfer RNA is filed under the name Sphingomonadales bacterium. Its description in RNAcentral is "tRNA-Thr". It matches the Rfam family "tRNA". Rfam says of the family: Transfer RNA (tRNA) molecules are approximately 80 nucleotides in length. Their secondary structure includes four short double-helical elements and three loops (D, anti-codon, and T loops). Further hydrogen bonds mediate the characteristic L-shaped molecular structure. tRNAs have two regions of fundamental functional importance: the anti-codon, which is responsible for specific mRNA codon recognition, and the 3' end, to which the tRNAs corresponding amino acid is attached (by aminoacyl-tRNA synthetases). tRNAs cope with the degeneracy of the genetic code in two manners: having more than one tRNA (with a specific anti-codon) for a particular amino acid; and 'wobble' base-pairing, i.e. permitting non-standard base-pairing at the 3rd anti-codon position. Lineage: Bacteria; Pseudomonadati; Pseudomonadota; Alphaproteobacteria; Sphingomonadales. The record is from RNAcentral.